GAGCAACGAGCCCCCUCACAGGCCUGCAGCCGCGUCGGGGCUCCCGCAACGCCCCCCGACGGGCCGGCCGGGAGGCACAGGCCGGCGCGAAGCCCCACCUCUUCCCGCAGCCCGCGGCCUCCUGCCCUGCGGCCCCCCCGGGCCAGCUGCCUUUCCGAGAGAGCCCCACGCGCACCGUCACGACGGCUGCGACCCCCCAGCUCCCCGAAGGCGCCCUGGGAGGGCACAGACCCAGCCGCUUCGGAAGGAUGGCUACUCGGUGAAAAUUCACCCCUUUGCCCCGAGAGCUCGGGAAGGACUUGAAGUUUCUACCUCCCCUCUUCCAACUGCGAUUUUUCUGGCUACGGCGUGGAUUUCUCAGCUUGGAGGUUUUUACUAUGAUCUUCAAGUGGUCCGUUAUUCUAUCUUCUUCAGGGUAUAUCGGUUCUGUUGUGAUGUCACCUUGCUACCUGAAAACUGGGUUUGCCUCUUGGUGGGUGUCGAGCCAACAAACACAACCAAGCCAAGAUCAGGAGAAGGAAGGAUUUACUACGACUUGCAGCAAAGAGGUCACAGUUUGACAACCUCGAGACAUCAUCAGGAGACCACCUGAUGCCAGAUUAAAGGAAUGCAGGCCCUUCGCACACCCUGAUCCUUAUCAGCAACCCCGCCCUUGAACCACUGCUGUAAAACUCACCAAACCCGCCCCCAACCCCGCCCCGAGUUGGGACACACAGUUUUGAGGGCACGAGCCUGCUGUGUCCCCCUCUGCCUGGCAAAGCAAUAAAGUUGUUCUUUUCUGCUUCACCCCAAAACUCUGUCUCUGAGAUCCGAUUCAACGCCGGUGUGCCGAGGCCGAGCUUUCAGCAUCAAGGGAGAUGCCACGCCCAUUAAGCACGUCCCCCACCUGCAGCUCCUGGCAGCCACUGGCCUGCUGUCUGUGUCUGUGGAUUUACCUGCCCUGCAUCUCUCACAGUAACGGAAUCACACAACAUGCGACUGCUGUCUGGCUUCCGCUCCACAGCACAAUGUUUGCAAGGUGCACCCAUGUUGUAGCACGUACUUUAUUCCUUUCCAGGGGUGAGUACUAUCCUGCUGCAUGGACAGACCACAUUGUGUUUAUCCAUUCAUCCACCGACGGA
Physeter macrocephalus (sperm whale) is the source of this 1121-nucleotide long non-coding RNA. RefSeq lists it as uncharacterized. The transcript has 3 exons. The record is from RefSeq and is a predicted model, not a curated record. Lineage: Eukaryota; Metazoa; Chordata; Mammalia; Artiodactyla; Physeteridae.